Long non-coding RNA from Hippocampus comes (tiger tail seahorse), 748 nucleotides. RefSeq lists it as uncharacterized. The transcript has 4 exons. The record is from RefSeq and is a predicted model, not a curated record. NCBI's taxonomy places the organism in Eukaryota, Metazoa, Chordata, Actinopteri, Syngnathiformes, Syngnathidae.
CUCUUUUAAGUACAACUCCCGCCUUUGACUUUACCCCCUUUCUGUUGAUAUCCAUGGAGAGGUGAGGGGCACGCUGUAUCACUCGAAUUGACGGGAGGACAUUGUUUUCGUCUAUUUUCGUCAGGCUUUGUGGUUGAGACGAUUAAACGCAGCCAGGACAAGAAAUCCUGCUGUGCGUCGUCAAUAUUCUUAAACGCAACGCGGUCGGACACGACCGGUUACUAUCCACCGUGUGUGGUCUGCUGUGAACACCCUCCAUCCAAUUUCGCCACUCGGCGAAACAAGCCCGAUGAUUUACGGGCUUGCCGGCUAACAAUUACCUCUGCUUGUGUUUCAUCGUUCCGCUGGUGGAAAAUGCGUCGAUUGUUAGAUUGCAAGCGGCAGCUGCUCCCCGACCAGCAACAAGACUAAAACAGUGAAGCUGAACAACACAUGGAUAACUGUCCCGAUGAGUAAUUUCACACUCAUUGUAUAUUACCUUUGAAAAUCAAAGGCUUGCAGAUGAUUUUAUUUAAAAAAUAAAAUAAAACAAAAAAAAAUGCACCACAAAUGUGGAUGUAUGUCACUGCUGAUCAACCCAUAGAAAAAUCACAACUUUUGUAUUGGUCAUUUGAUACACAGAUACACUUACUUGGGAGUGGGGGGAUUCACCUACCAUUCGAUUCAAAUCGCAAUACUUGAGCGAUUAUUUGAUUUAUAGCACGAAUAUUGAUUGUAUUGUGAUUUGAGAUUCAAUAUCACGGUUAUC